UUUAUAUAUUUUUGUUAACUAUUGUUGGACUAGCCCACUUUUAGGGAUCCUACUGUUCAUAUUAUAGCCAAUGGCUUUUAAAAAUUUUACUAAUAAAAAUAUUCCUUUGCUCGUGAAGCGAGCCUGACGGUCUAUCUUGAUGUGACUAUCUUAUUCAAUGUUUCUGGUUUUGAGGAAAGCAUUUUCCCAUCAUUUCAAACGUAAGU
Molecule: long non-coding RNA, 206 nt
Organism: Nilaparvata lugens (brown planthopper)
Lineage: Eukaryota; Metazoa; Arthropoda; Insecta; Hemiptera; Delphacidae
Exons: 2
Source: RefSeq, a predicted model, not a curated record